AAAUUAGCAGUAACAACCCUCAGUGUCCCCGGUCACCGUUGUCUGUUUCUGAAUUUCGUAUGAAAUAUGGAUAUCGUUACAGCAAAAUCGAUGGUCUAGCACUCCACGAUGUACCUGUCGAUGGUAACAACACUUUUGCUCAUCUAGAGAUGCGGCAGUUGACGCGGUGAAGUGAAAGCGCAUCGUGGCUUUUAAAAUGCAAAUGUAAACAGCAACCCAGACAGCAAUUUACACUCUUGACAUAGCUUCAACAUACGCUAGUAGUGAUGUUCGGCGUGGUGCAGUGGUAAGAUGCUUGUCUCGGCACCGUCAGGUCCGAAGUUCGAAACCUUGACAAAAGGCAUUUUUUUUUCUACUUUUAUUUUUUUUAUUUUAUUUCGUAUUAAUAAUUUUACAUAACCUUAAAAUGACCUCUGUCAAUUUUUAAUCAAAUAUUGAUCAGGAACUACAGAAUUUUCGACUACAGGGCGUCACACUACAGAGAACAGAACGACAGUCACAACGUCCCAAAAUACGACAGACUGAAAAUUUGCUGUUGUGUUUUUCAAGUGGGUGAGACGUCUAUACGGCGUAUACGCAGAUUGCUGUCCUCUCUAUUAAAAGCAACGUUGCUGAAACACGUCGUACAAGACGCUGUACGACUCGCAUAACAUCGAAAUACAACGCCGUCACCAUCCAUGAGAUCACCGAAAGCACGGUCGCUUUCGGUGGCGGCCUACAGAUGGCAGCACAGGUAGCGCCGGUAAAGUUACAGGUGAUAAUAUUUUGCCGUCCUCAGUUGUCGCCACAUGUGAGUGCUUGCUGCAUUGACGCCGUCCGAUGUAGUUGUUUAAUCGUGUGUACGCUGUGCCGAGAGAAAUUGUGGUGCAUUUUGUAUGCAUUGAGAAUCACAAAACCCCUGGGACCGCGUAAUGUAGCCCGCAGUAUCCUUCGUGUGGUGCGCCGAUGUCGAAGAUAUGACCCUUCGCGCUUCCUUUGUUCCGGGCUCAUGAACAGGAUCUCCUCCUCUGGCACUGUCGCAUCGUAUCGCGCUGUACGGAAGAAUUUGGUGAAAGUUGUGCUCUUACGUCCUGUAGUUGAUCCGCAAUUCAACAGUGUGUGCGCCGGAAGGACCGUUGGUGCAGUCGAUGCCGCGGCACCUGUGACGCUAAAAGGAGCGUUUUCCGAGUACGCCUAGAAAGGGAUGGCAAGAUUUUGUGAACCAGAGGCACCUCCACAUAUGCACCUGCGGCACUUCUGCAGCCUCAACAACACGGAAAAGUACCUGAUGUGCAUGCUGUGACAAGCUGCUGUAGGUAUGGCUGGACCUGGAGAAGAAGUGUAAGCAGACCAUGCUAUGUUGCUGAUCUGCGCUGAUCUCCACAUCCAAGUUGGUCCCGCGACAGUUGGGCACCAUUGUGCCUUGCUUCAUUGACAAGGUGAUAUAAUAUGGUGCCCUGCUCGCUCUCACCCAAGCAACCCACUCCAGCGGUCUUCUCUCGGCAGACUGGAUGCAUCGAAAUACCGUUAGAAGGUCCAAUAAACAGUGCUUGGGACAUUUA
Molecule: long non-coding RNA, 1541 nt
Organism: Dermacentor andersoni
Lineage: Eukaryota; Metazoa; Arthropoda; Arachnida; Ixodida; Ixodidae
Source: RefSeq, a predicted model, not a curated record